GAAACGCGAUAAGUAAUGUGAAUUGCAGAAUUCCGUGAAUCAUCGAAUCUUUGAACGCACAUUGCGCCCGCCAGUACUCUGGCGGGCAUGCCUGUUCGAGCGUCAUUUCGACCAUCGAGCCCCCCGGGCUCGCGUUGGGGAUCUGCGGCCGCGCGCAGUCCCCGAAAACCAGUGGCGGGCUCGCCGUCACCCCGAGCGUAGUAGCAUCCGUUUUUCUCGCUCCGGGGCGUGGCGCGGGACCCGGCCGUUAAAGGGCGGUUCACGCACCCCCAACAUACCCAGGUUGACCUCGGAUCAGGUAGGAAUACCCGCUGAACUUAA
Molecule: unclassified non-coding RNA, 321 nt
Filed under: uncultured Sordariomycetes
Lineage: Eukaryota; Fungi; Ascomycota; Sordariomycetes
Description: sequence contains ITS1
Rfam family: 5.8S ribosomal RNA (bases 1-105)
Source: RNAcentral